UGCAAGUCGAACGGCAGCACGGGUGCUUGCACCUGGUGGCGAGUGGCGAACGGGUGAGUAAUACAUCGGAACAUGUCCUGUAGUGGGGGAUAGCCCGGCGAAAGCCGGAUUAAUACCGCAUACGAUCCACGGAUGAAAGCGGGGGACCUUCGGGCCUCGCGCUAUAGGGUUGGCCGAUGGCUGAUUAGCUAGUUGGUGGGGUAAAGGCCUACCAAGGCGACGAUCAGUAGCUGGUCUGAGAGGACGACCAGCCACACUGGGACUGAGACACGGCCCAGACUCCUACGGGAGGCAGCAGUGGGGAAUUUUGGACAAUGGGCGAAAGCCUGAUCCAGCAAUGCCGCGUGUGUGAAGAAGGCCUUCGGGUUGUAAAGCACUUUUGUCCGGAAAGAAAUCCCUGGCUCUAAUACAGUCGGGGGAUGACGGUACCGGAAGAAUAAGCACCGGCUAACUACGUGCCAGCAGCCGCGGUAAUACGUAGGGUGCGAGCGUUAAUCGGAAUUACUGGGCGUAAAGCGUGCGCAG
This 525-nucleotide ribosomal RNA is filed under the name Burkholderia multivorans. Its description in RNAcentral is "bacterial SSU rRNA". It matches the Rfam family "Bacterial small subunit ribosomal RNA", at positions 56 to 574 of the family's 1533-position model. Lineage: Bacteria; Pseudomonadati; Pseudomonadota; Betaproteobacteria; Burkholderiales; Burkholderiaceae. The record is from RNAcentral.